AGAGUUUGAUCAUGGCUCAGGAUGAACGCUAGCGACAGGCUUAACACAUGCAAGUCGAGGGGCAUCAUGAGGUAGCAAUACCUUGAUGGCGACCGGCGUACGGGUGAGUAACGCGUAUCCAACCUGCCCACCACUUGGGGAUAACCUUGCGAAAGUAAGACUAAUACCCAAUGAUAUCUCUAGAAGACAUCUGAAAGAGAUUAAAGAUUUAUCGGUGAUGGAUGGGGAUGCGUCUGAUUAGCUUGUUGGCGAGGUAACGGCCCACCAAGGCAACGAUCAGUAGGGGUUCUGAGAGGAAGGUCCCCCACAUUGGAACUGAGACACGGUCCAAACUCCUACGGGAGGCAGCA
This 350-nucleotide ribosomal RNA is filed under the name uncultured bacterium. RNAcentral describes it as "bacterial SSU rRNA". It matches the Rfam family "Bacterial small subunit ribosomal RNA", at positions 8 to 353 of the family's 1533-position model. The record is from RNAcentral.